CCGCCAUGAUGGGUUACGACGACAAUUCGUUGUACGAUCUGGAGUUCCGUUCGACGUUGGACGACGCUUGGUACAGCGUCCGAGUCGUACUCUCCGACGACGACACUCUCGUCGUCAAGUUCUGGAACUUCUCCGAAUCCACCGACGAGAGCUUUGGAGUUGGCGAUUUUAAGACGAUCGAGGCCGUCGAGGAGUUCGUUCGGAGGUUUCGGCUUCCAUCGCAGCAGUUGCAGGACAGCCAGUGCUCGAGACUCGUCGAAGGAAUUGGUGUGUGUGCCUCUUUCACUUUCAGAGACGAUGACAUUCGCUUCUACGACGCCGUUGUCGAGGCGGUGCACCAUGUGGAGCAUUCAUUUGCAAAAGAAGAGGAGGAAUGCUUGUGCACCUUUCUGCUAUUCUGGCAACAUGGGCCAAAUGAGGGUAAUGUAACAGCUUCCGGUAUUGCAAACAUGUGCCUAAUCCAACCUUUUGAACAAAUGGAUUCUAGGGUGGUCACUUUCUCAAAGAUGGCAAAGGAGAAAGUCGAGAUUGCUCGCCCUACACCUGGUUCAGCUUCUGAUGGUAAAACUUCAUUGGGUAAGAGUGCUACGUUUGACAAAGAAGAUAGAAAUUUGUCAACUGUCCAAGAGUCUACUUUAUCUCAACGUGGGCUCCAGGAGGGUGUUAAGCAGUUUGGUAGCUUAGCACAUACAAAAGAAGGGAGGAUUAACAAAUUUCAUGAGAGGAACCAUCAAGAUAUAGAUUUUGGAGGGGGAUCUUAUAUGGGAGAAUUUGGCAGUCAUCAUUUCAUGUUAAUUGAGAAUUUGGAGAAAGAUUUGUCUCCAUCAUCAAUUAUGGAAUUCAUACAUAAACAAACAUCUAUCUCACCACAAGCAUAUGUUUUUCCAAGUUUAUCAUCAGAAACAUAUACAAGGGGCGUCAUUGUAUUGGAUUGCAAGAAGAAGCUUAAGAAGAUAUAUGAAUUUUUAAAUAAUCCAGAUCAAAUUGUUAUGUCAUCAAGGGGAAGGCCUUGGGUCAUAACAGAAACUACUUCAAGGCGUGGAACCUUUAGGACUACUUUUGGGAGUCUAAUACCAACAUCUCAGAACAGAAGCAUUGAUGGUGAAUUGAAGGUUGUCUGUAGAGGGGCUAAAGAAUUCAUGAUAGCUCAACGUCUGAGGGACUUACUCAAAGAAUUUGUGGAACACCAACAGCGACUUCACAAGAGGUUAACUUUGGAGGAGAAAAAGAUCUUGCAGCCCGCUGUUUAGCUACAAGCAACUUCUCAGGCUCAUGGCAAAUGUGUUAAUACAUUAAGGUAAGGUUGAUCAACUUCUUUGUUCCAAGGACUUCAUGUCUCUGAUUUAUAAAAGUUUGCUUUCAGCCAGCAACAGAGCUGCACUAGUGAACCAGUUUCUUCUUGUGCUGUUUCAGGCAACAAAAGUCUCCAUCUCAUCAUAGCCAUUUUGUACAUUGACAAACUACCAUUUCAGAAAUGUUUAUGUUUAUGUACCCAGAUUCAAAUGUGUGAAUCAGAUUCAUUCUAAAUGAGUUUUGAAUAGUUUUCUUAA
Molecule: non-coding RNA, 1550 nt
Organism: Camellia sinensis
Lineage: Eukaryota; Viridiplantae; Streptophyta; Magnoliopsida; Ericales; Theaceae
Source: RefSeq, a predicted model, not a curated record